This 389-nucleotide long non-coding RNA is filed under the name Homo sapiens (human). RNAcentral describes it as "non-protein coding lnc-FCMR-2:1". The record is from RNAcentral. Lineage: Eukaryota; Metazoa; Chordata; Mammalia; Primates; Hominidae.
GGGAAAUAGUAGCUACAGAGUCUUCUGAGUAGAUCCAGCCUUUGCCCACCGCUAAAUAAUCAGAUCCAGGGAAGCAUCAAAAGUCAAAGAAAGGAUGAAGAGAAGUUGCUUCCAGCAACAGUGGGUGGGGCUUUCCAUUUAAAUUCUGCCUUCAACUUCCAAAAAAUAUCCUCUUGGGAAACUUAUUACUCAUGAAAAUGAAGAGAAGGUGUUUUCCUCCAUGGAGCAAUCUCUGCCUUGAAAAGUCUCCAUCCCUCUUCCUAGCCCAGAGAGAUGAUCCCACAAGGAAGUGGAUUUUGUUGCUUAAUCCUAGUUAACUGAAUUCUGUUUUCCCACAAUAAAAUAAUAAAAGUAAUUUGGAAUAGCAUAACCUGAAUGUUCAUAUUUCC